GACGAACGCUGGCGGCGUGCUUAACACAUGCAAGUCGAACGGAAAGGCCUCUUUCGGGGGGUACACGAGUGGCGAACGGGUGAGUAACACGUGAGUAACCUGCCCUUGACUUUGGGAUAACUUCAGGAAACUGGGGCUAAUACCGGAUAGGAGCUCCUGCUGCACGGUGGGGGUUGGAAAGUUUCGGCGGUUGGGGAUGGACUCGCGGCUUAUCAGCUUGUUGGUGGGGUAGUGGCUUACCAAGGGUUUGACGGGUAGCCGGCCUGAGAGGGUGACCGGCCACAAUGGGACUGGGAUACGGCCCAGACUCCUACGGGAGGCAGCAGUGGGGAAUAUUGCACAAUGGGUGGAAGCCUGAUGCAGCAACGCCGGGUGCGGGAUGACGGCCUUCGGGUUGUAAACCGCUUUCGCUCAUGACGAAGCUUUGUGUGACGGUAGUGGGUAAAGAAGCACCGGCUAACUACGUG
RNAcentral lists this ribosomal RNA (467 nucleotides) under uncultured bacterium. Its description in RNAcentral is "partial 16S ribosomal RNA". It matches the Rfam family "Bacterial small subunit ribosomal RNA", at positions 28 to 507 of the family's 1533-position model. The record is from RNAcentral.